UACGAAGGGGGCUAGCGUUGUUCGGAUUUACUGGGCGUAAAGCGCACGUAGGCGGAUCUUUAAGUCAGAGGUGAAAUCCCAAGGCUCAACCUUGGAACUGCCUUUGAUACUGGGGAUCUUGAGUCCGGGAGAGGUGAGUGGAACUGCGAGUGUAGAGGUGAAAUUCGUAGAUAUUCGCAAGAACACCAGUGGCGAAGGCGGCCAACUGGUCCGGUACUGACGCUGAGGUGCGAAAGCGUGGGGAGCAAACAGG
RNAcentral lists this ribosomal RNA (253 nucleotides) under uncultured bacterium. RNAcentral describes it as "partial 16S ribosomal RNA". It matches the Rfam family "Bacterial small subunit ribosomal RNA", at positions 524 to 776 of the family's 1533-position model. The record is from RNAcentral.